GAUGAACGCUGGCGGCGUGCCUAAUACAUGCAAGUCGAGCGAACAGACGAGGAGCUUGCUCCUCUGACGUUAGCGGCGGACGGGUGAGUAACACGUGGAUAACCUACCUAUAAGACUGGGAUAACUUCGGGAAACCGGAGCUAAUACCGGAUAAUAUAUUGAACCGCAUGGUUCAAUAGUGAAAGACGGUUUUGCUGUCACUUAUAGAUGGAUCCGCGCCGCAUUAGCUAGUUGGUAAGGUAACGGCUUACCAAGGCGACGAUGCGUAGCCGACCUGAGAGGGUGAUCGGCCACACUGGAACUGAGACACGGUCCAGACUCCUACGGGAGGCAGCAGUAGGGAAUCUUCCGCAAUGGGCGAAAGCUUGACGGAGCAACGCCGCGCGAGUGAUGAAGGUCUUCGGAUCGUAAAACUCUGUUAUUAGGGAAGAACAAAUGUGUAAGUAACUAUGCACGUCUUGACGGUACCUAAUCAGAAAGCCACGGCUAACUACGUG
This 497-nucleotide ribosomal RNA is filed under the name uncultured bacterium. RNAcentral describes it as "partial 16S ribosomal RNA". It matches the Rfam family "Bacterial small subunit ribosomal RNA", at positions 28 to 507 of the family's 1533-position model. The record is from RNAcentral.